UGUGGGCGCACUAGCGGCAGGGGGCUUGGCGGGUUACGCGUUGGGCGGUGGGUUCAGUAGCGACAGCCCCACAACUGAGGUGCAUACAUCGUCAUUUGCUGAUGCCGACAGCUUCGGAGGAGACGACUGGAUGGAAUAACGCCUUAAUAAAGAUAAAUUUAUAUAUAUCAACUUAAUUAGAGUAUAUGAAAAAUAACUUAAAAGAAAUAAUGUGAAAUAUAUAUCAAUAUUGUUUAUCGGUGUAAAUGUAUUUUAAAAAUUUGUUGCUAAACAUAUUGUGAUCAUUUAAAUGUCUAAUAUACAACAUGUUAG
Long non-coding RNA from Melitaea cinxia (Glanville fritillary), 312 nucleotides. RefSeq lists it as uncharacterized. The transcript has 2 exons. NCBI's taxonomy places the organism in Eukaryota, Metazoa, Arthropoda, Insecta, Lepidoptera, Nymphalidae. The record is from RefSeq and is a predicted model, not a curated record.